RNAcentral lists this long non-coding RNA (1689 nucleotides) under Homo sapiens (human). RNAcentral's name for it is "HSALNT0373051". The record is from RNAcentral. Lineage: Eukaryota; Metazoa; Chordata; Mammalia; Primates; Hominidae.
UCUAACCCAGGUGAGAGAGGAUGGUGGCUCAGACCAGGGGAAUGGGAGAAGUGAUCCAAUUCUGGGUCUAUUUUCAUGAUGGAGCCAGUAGGAUUUUCUGAGGGGUUGGAGGUAGGCUGAGAGAGAAUGGAAUCCAGGGUGAUUCCAGGGUUCUGGCUUGGAACAAUGGGGAGAAUAAAGCUGCUAUUAACUGGAAUGGAGAAGAUGCAGAGGGAGCUGGCUGGGGAGUGCGGUUGGGGAUGGACUCUCAGGAGCUCAGCUUUAGCUAUGUGAAUCCUGAGGUCCUCAUUAAUUGCCCAUGUGUAGAUGCCAAGAAGGUUGCAGCUUUAGAGGGAUAGGAUGUUUUAUGCCUCAUGAAUCUUCUAGCCUGGUUUGUUGAUUGCAUGAACCAAUCAAUUAACCAAUCAGUGAACAAUAGUGAAGCUCUAUCUGAGUAGAGGUUGCAGGGGGAAUUGAUGAGAUUUCUGUCUCUAGACUGGGUUGAGAGAGAGAAACAUUAGUUUAUUUUUGAACAGCCCCUAUUUCUGAAAAUGGAUAGAUGAGGAGGGAAGAAGGGACCAGGGACAGACAUCUUCUCCGUUCCAAUGUUAGCAUCUAUGAAGUCUUAGAUCACAAAAUGUUUAUUUUUAUUGGUUUAAGAAGAUCCCAUAACCUCUUCCUCAUUCUCCUUUGAAGAUGCCAUCAGGCUUCAGAAUGUAUGCUGCCAUUGUUGCUGAAGGCAUUAUCAUUAUGAUUAUUUAUGACAGUGCCCUGUUUUAUGCAAUAUGCUUAUAAUAGUAGGGGUAGAUUUAUUAAGGUAUAUGAAAAUACAUUAAGACUCCAGAGAUGAAAUGCCUGGGUUUGAAUCCCGCAUCUACUAUUUAUAAGUUGUCAGACUUUGGGCAAGUUACUUAACCUCCCUAUGUUUCAGUUUUCUAAUCUGUAAAAUGGGAAUAAUAUUGGUACCUAUCUCAUUGGGUCAGUGUGAGAAUUAAAUUGUUAAUUAUUGAAGUGUUUAGAAUUAUCUGGCACAUAGUGAAUCCUAUAUGUGAUAGCUAUUGUUUUUAUAUCAAGCACUGUCAAAUAUAUAUCGGGUAGUCAUGAUGAACAUUAAACUUGGCAUAAUCCCUGGCCAUGGACCUAUUGAAGAUUAUUGAGAUAGAUCAUCUCACGAGGAAAGAAGAAAAUGAGUUUAGAAAGCUCACUCCACUCUGAACUACUGCUGAGAAGUCCAGAAAUAAACCAGAAAUACCUUUAACCUCCAAUACAAGGUCCAACUUGAUUUCUACCUAGCACCUCAGGAGCAAAGCAAAUUAACUGAGGGUCUCGGCGGGCCAUAAUUUCAAUAUUUGAGCAACGGCAACAUGGAACAAGAACCUACAAUGGUGGGCAAGUUUUCCGGAUGUCAGGCCAUGAAGUGCUUGGACUCACAAUUCCUAAGUGUGUUCUUGAAGAAAAACCAGGUCUGAGCCCUGGUAGGAGCACACAAAUGAGGGACCAUCGAGAGCCUUGAUGGAAGCGGCAUAUCCCUCACCCCCAGGGAGGAGCAGACCAGGGCUGGGAAAAGGGCUUCUCUCCCUUUCUGUGGCUCUGAUUAUAGAUGCUGGACUUGGAAGAUGAGGACGGGCUGGAGUCCUGCCCUGAGCUGGGAGUUGGAAUGUACAGUAGUGCUUUCAAGAUCUUAGUCAUCAGUAAACAGAGCUAUUAUGC